UCGUGUUGUGAAAGCACAAAAGUUAAUAGCACCUGCUGACGGUCUAAUAAGAGAUAAACAUACUUGAUCGCUUAUACUUAUAAACGGAAAACCAGAUCACUUACCAUGUCAAAGAGCUUCGUUGAACGUCCAAAAAUUCCUUCCAUGACCGAAAUUGCUAAAGACUUAGAAGAGGCACCUACUGAUGACGUUGUUUUACAAAAAUUAAAUUGUGUGUCCUCUCAUAGUAUUGGCAGUAAUGCUGCCAGUAGUGAAGAAAGUGACAUAGACGCAGAUGAUGAAAAUAACAGAUUGAAAUUAGAGAAACUGAAUGCUGAGAUUAGUGAAGCAUGUUCUAAAGCUCGUCAGAUGGUUAAAUUAUGUGAAAUAUUACAAGAAGCACCAUCUAAAUUAGAGCAUGAAUACAAAGAUUUAGAACAUCAGGGACUUGAAGUGUCGAGUGCCAUUGAAGAUUUAAGACGUUCUUCACAAACUGUACCUUCACCAUCCACAAAACAAACCUCAAAAAAAAAGAAAGGAAAAAAAUAAAAACAUUAAUUUUACUUUUGUGUGUCGGUAAUCAACAUUACUUUAUGGUAUAUCAAGAUCUUAAAUAUAUGAUGCACAUUAGGCGUUCACUAUAAUGGCGUAGAGCAGGGGGUGUCAAAUUCAUUUCGAUCCAGGGGUCACAUGAACUAAAUUUUCCAUCAAGUGAGCCGGAGAUAUACAAAAAUUCUAAAAACAAAGCAAAACCUCCUUGAACUUUACUGAAUUCUAAAAUCAAAGCCAAACGUGGAUGUGACAUAGGUAAUUUUUUAGACUGGUUUCCAAAUUGCCAAGAUAUAAUAUUGAACAUAACCUUCUCGUGUAUUACAUACAUAUCUAUGAUAUACAGUAUGGAAGUGAAAGUUUUACUGAAACCCGGAUAACAAUAAUAAAUAUUUUCACCACUGGGUUCUAAGAAUUAUCGACACGUCAGUUUGUUGAAAUUUGUUCCACGGGCCACAUUGAAACCCUUGGCAGACAGGAUCUGGCCCAAGGGUCGCAUGUUCGACAACCUUGGCAUAGAAAGUCUGCCCAAAGGAUGCUGAACUACACUUUUAUAGUACACAAAUCUAUAUUAUGUAGAGUUUCCAGUCUUUUGAUCAUGUUUUUCCAUUGGAGUAGUGUUUGGACAAUUGUGGUGGGUUACAAGGUUUUGAUGAGAGUAAUCUAUAGUGCAUGGGUUACUAGGUUUAGCCAGACACUGUGACUAUUGAGUAUAAAAAGUGUAUAUUAUGUUAAAUAAGUAUGAAACACUUCGUUGUAUACACUCGUUCCAUUCAUAAUUACUGUUUAUUUAGAUUAAACUAACAAAUCAUAGUAAAAGAAGCUCAGUAAUAAAUAGUAAUUAUAUUUUA
Patella vulgata (common limpet) is the source of this 1379-nucleotide long non-coding RNA. RefSeq lists it as uncharacterized. Lineage: Eukaryota; Metazoa; Mollusca; Gastropoda; Patellidae. The record is from RefSeq and is a predicted model, not a curated record. The transcript is spliced from 2 exons.